Long non-coding RNA from Zingiber officinale, 1968 nucleotides. RefSeq lists it as uncharacterized. The record is from RefSeq and is a predicted model, not a curated record. The transcript has 2 exons. Lineage: Eukaryota; Viridiplantae; Streptophyta; Magnoliopsida; Zingiberales; Zingiberaceae.
ACCAACACCCCGCAAUUUUUUUCUCUUCUCUUAUCCCAUGAAAUCGGAACCUGAUGCCUUUCUCUUCCAGUCCCGACCAAAGGCGAUCUUCUUCGAAGAUAUGUCGUCUUCAAACAAAGGCCGGAAAUCUUAUUUCUUUUUUACCUGACCUGUAGAAUGACGAUCCUCUUUUCCUCCUCUUCCCGACCUAGGCCAAUUCAAACAAGAUCCUAUUUUUGUUUCUUAUCUUCCUAAGCUAAAUAAUCAACAUUUUAGAAUUCAUAGGUGGCUACACGAAGACUUCCUAUAUCCAUUUGGCUUAAGCCCCAUUCACAAGAAGCUACCCCGCUCUUUUGGUAAGUUUUGGUAAUUCAGUUCUUACGUUAUUGCUAACUAAGGUAUUUUUUGUUUUGUGCAGUGGAUGCCAUUUUGAAGUUCCUAGUCGAUGCAGCAAUUGACCUAACCACCGAAAAGAUUCGCGCCAAGGAACAAGAAUUGCUAACCGAAUGAGGUUUACCCUUGGCUGCUUCUUCUAACGAGGCUUCGGGACACCACAGAACUGCGCCCAUUGAGGCUACCCCUUUUGGAGAAUUACCCCCCGAUGCGCUUCCAGCGUUGGAGGUUUGUCUGGUGGAGAAGGAUGUCUCCCCAAAGAAAAAACACAAAGGGCGAAAGAUUACCCUUGCCCCUCCUCCCAAGAGGUUAGCGGUCCUCACAGAGACACCUUCUUUACCAUUGCCUUAUGCCUAGGAAGAUUCUGCCUCGAAGGAUACACAAGAACAAUUUCCUGAGCAAACCUUAUCUGUCCUUUAUUCAACCCUCUUUACCCUUGGUCCUGCUCAAACUUGAGAGGACGUUCCUUUGCCGGGCAGUUCUUCAGGCCCAAGCUUCUCCGUGUCCCCUCAUGUAGAGACCACCACUGCUGCCCUCGAGUGGCUUCAUCAAUUAUCCAUUAUUUUUUUCCUUACCUUCUGCCCAAGCUCUACUCGCUUUAACAUCCACGCCUUCUCCUACCCUCCCAAUACUAUUAGGAAAUCGUUUAAUAAAUGCUUGGGAGGAUACAAAAAAUAGACUUAGCGAGCUUACUCCAACAGAGCCGGCAGAUGAAUUCUCUUAUGAACAGACUAAGUGUUGGACAAUUAUCAUGAGCCUUGCUCAACAAAUGUACGACUUGGCUUAGGAGAACGGGUUGCUAAAGCAACGAGUCAUCGAAGCAACUUCCGUGUGUACCUCUGAACGAAUAAAGGAGCUAGAUGCUCAACUACAAGAAGCUCAACAGUUAGCUAAACCAAGCAAGAGAAGGCAACCUAGUGGAAGAUUGCCCUGAAUACUUUUUAAGCUCAACUUCAAUCGAAAACAAGUUCUCGGGUAGAAAUGCAAAAAAAACUGGACGAGCAAAUGACAGAGAACGCACAAUUGUCUGCCCAACUAUAAGAAUUGAAGGCUUCAUAUGCUGUUGAACUAUUUGCCAAAGAAUCCUAACUAGUGACUCAAAAGGCGGAGCGAGAUGCUAUCAGAUCUAAUGACUUCUCAUAUUGAAUCAACAGCCUGGUUGAAAUUGGCAGCCUAUUAGGCAGGAGAGGACGAGCGAUUUGAGGCUAAGAAAAAAGCCUUGUUUCUAACACGUGACUUCAACAUCCCCAUUGCUGACUCCAUUACUAAAGCCCUCUUCCUUGGAGCGGAAGGUGUGAUGAAACAAGUAAAAGAAGGUGGAUGUCUCACCUCCGAUCCUCCUGCCAGUUUUUUGGAUUACCAAAAGAUAACCCAUAGUGUUCCUCCUGAUCGGUUUCCAAACCUAUGGUGAUCUAUCUUGUUCUUCUUUAUUUGUCUUCUUCAAUGAAUUGGAUAUUAAUUUCUAUUGUCCUAAUGUAAGUUUUGGUUGAACCUAUCAGAUAUCUUUUCUUUAAAAUUUGAUUGUGUAACCACUUAUGGUUUUACUUAACACAUGUGCACUAUCUUAAGGAUAAUUUGAAUAUGUUCAGGCGAGAA